RNAcentral lists this ribosomal RNA (1138 nucleotides) under uncultured bacterium. RNAcentral's name for it is "bacterial SSU rRNA". It matches the Rfam family "Bacterial small subunit ribosomal RNA", at positions 1 to 1088 of the family's 1533-position model. The record is from RNAcentral.
CSMUUAWGGAUGCAUCCUGGGMRUAUUCGAAUGCGGGCGGCGUGCCUUUGUCGUAAUCAUGGUGGGGCCUGAUUUAUCAGGCCACCGGCAGACGGGUGAGUAACGCGUAGGAAUCUACCCCUAGGAUUCGCAUAGCCCUCCGAAAGGAGGGGUAAUUCGGAAUGGCCUCGUAAGAGUAAAGGACUUAACGGUCCGCCAAGGGAGGAGCCUGCGUCCUAUCAGCUUGUUGGUGGGGUAAAAGCCUACCAAGGCAAUGACGGGUAGCUGGACUGAGAGGUCGAUCAGCCACAACUGCACUGAAACACGGGCAGUACAUCUACGGAUGGCAGCAACCGGGAAUAUUGCGCAAUGGACGAAAGUCUGACGCAGCGACGCCGCGUGAAGGAAGAAGGCCUAUGGGUCGUAAACUUCUUUUGCCAAGCCGUUCACAGCUUGGAGAAUAAGCCUCUACUAACUACGUGCCAGAAGUCUCGGUAAUACGUAGGAGGCAAGCAUUAUCCGGAUUCAUUGGGCGUAAAGUGUGCGUAGGCGGCAUGUUGUGUCGUAUCUUAAAUACCAAGGCUUAACCUCGGAUCUGGAUACGAAACUGGCAUGCUAGAGGAUUGUUAGGGAUGCUAGAACAGUUAGUGUAGCAGUGAAAUGCGUUGAUAUUAACUGGAAUACCGAAGGCGAAGGCAGGCAUCUGGGAUUUUCCUGACGCUGAGGCACGAAAGCUAGGGUAGCGAAACAGAUUAGAGACCUGUGUAGUCCUAGCCGUAAACGAUGUCCGCUAGCUAUCACUCACCAAGGGUGGGAAUGGCAAAUAUGCAAAUAAACAAAUAAGCAAAUGAAUUUAGAAUUUUUUAAUUUUAAAUUAUUUGAAAUUUGAUAUUUGUAGUAUUUGAUAUUCCAAUAGUUCGCACUUUUGGUGGAGUGGUGGUGUAAGCUAACGCGUUAAGCGGACCGCCUGGGGAGUACGGUCGCAGACUAAACUCAAAGGAUUGACGGGACCCGCCCACCGGUGGAGCGKGKGAUUAAUCGAGACAAACGAAAACCUCMCAGAUUGACUACUAUCGUUAGUCUGUGAAACCGAUGAUCCUCAGAAGAUGUAAGGUCUGCAUGCKUCCCMGCUCGUCCAGUGAGGGUUUCCUUACGUGGG